AAUAGAUACCCAGGUAGUCCACGCCGUAAACGAUGUCGACUUGGAGGUUGUGCCCUUGAGGCGUGGCUUCCGGAGCUAACGCGUUAAGUCGACCGCCUGGGGAGUACGGCCGCAAGGUUAAAACUCAAAUGAAUUGACGGGGGCCCGCACAAGCGGUGGAGCAUGUGGUUUAAUUCGAUGCAACGCGAAGAACCUUACCUACUCUUGACAUCCAGAGAACUUAGCAGAGAUGCUUUGGUGCCUUCGGGAACUCUGAGACAGGUGCUGCAUGGCUGUCGUCAGCUCGUGUUGUGAAAUGUUGGGUUAAGUCCCGCAACGAGCGCAACCCUUAUCCUUUGUUGCCAGCGGUUAGGCCGGGAACUCAAAGGAGACUGCCAGUGAUAAACUGGAGGAAGGUGGGGAUGACGUCAAGUCAUCAUGGCCCUUACGAGUAGGGCUACACACGUGCUACAAUGGCAUAUACAAAGAGAAGCGACCUCGCGAGAGCAAGCGGACCUCAUAAAGUAUGUCGUAGUCCGGA
RNAcentral lists this ribosomal RNA (520 nucleotides) under uncultured bacterium. RNAcentral describes it as "bacterial SSU rRNA". It matches the Rfam family "Bacterial small subunit ribosomal RNA", at positions 777 to 1297 of the family's 1533-position model. The record is from RNAcentral.